RNAcentral lists this ribosomal RNA (254 nucleotides) under uncultured bacterium. RNAcentral's name for it is "partial 16S ribosomal RNA". It matches the Rfam family "Bacterial small subunit ribosomal RNA", at positions 524 to 776 of the family's 1533-position model. The record is from RNAcentral.
UACGUAGGCAGCAAGCGUUGUUCGGAGUUAUUGGGCGUAAAGAGCUCGUAGGCGGUUCGGCAAGUCAGCUGUGAAAUCUCCACGCUCAACGUGGAGGGGUCAGCUGAUACUGCUGUGACUUGAGUCCGGUAGGGGAGUGUGGAAUUCCCGGUGUAGCGGUGAAAUGCGCAGAUAUCGGGAGGAACACCAGUAGCGAAGGCGGCACUCUGGGCCGGUACUGACGCUGAGGAGCGAAAGCGUGGGGAGCAAACAGG